GACGAACGCUGGCGGCGCGCCUAACACAUGCAAGUCGAACGAGCGAGAGAGAGUUUGCUUUCUCGAGCGAGUGGCGAACGGGUGAGUAACGCGUGAGGAACCUGCCUCAAAGAGGGGGACAACAGUUGGAAACGACUGCUAAUACCGCAUAAGCCCACAGCUCGGCAUCGAGCAGAGGGAAAAGGAGUGAUCCGCUUUGAGAUGGCCUCGCGUCCGAUUAGCUGGUUGGUGAGGUAACGGCCCACCAAGCCGACGAUCUUUAGCUGGUCUGAGAGGAUGAUCAGCCACACUGGGACUGAGACACGGCCCAA
This 311-nucleotide ribosomal RNA is filed under the name uncultured bacterium. RNAcentral describes it as "bacterial SSU rRNA". It matches the Rfam family "Bacterial small subunit ribosomal RNA", at positions 28 to 334 of the family's 1533-position model. The record is from RNAcentral.